Molecule: ribosomal RNA, 465 nt
Filed under: uncultured bacterium
Lineage: Bacteria
Description: bacterial SSU rRNA
Rfam family: Bacterial small subunit ribosomal RNA
Source: RNAcentral
GGACCCGCACAAGCGGUGGAGUAUGUGGCUUAAUUCGAUGCAACGCGAAGAACCUUACCUGGGCUUGACAUGCAUUUCUAAGGUCGUGAAAGCGGCCGACCCUUCGGGGGACUUGCACAGGUGCUGCAUGGCCGUCGUCAGCUCGUGUCGUGAGAUGUUGGGUUAAGUCCCGCAACGAGCGCAACCCUUGUGACUGGUUGCCAGCGGGUAAAGCCGGGAACUCGAGUCAGACUGCCCAGAUCAACUGGGAGGAAGGUGGGGACGACGUCAGGUCAGUAUGGCCCUUACGCCCAGGGCUGCACACGUACUACAAUGCCCAGCACAAUGAGAACCGAAGCCGCGAGGCGGAGGAAAUCUAGAAAACUGGGCCCAGUUCGGAUUGGAGGCUGCAACUCGCCUCCAUGAAGUCGGAAUCGCUAGUAAUGGCGCAUCAGCUACGGCGCCGUGAAUACGUUCCCGGGUCUU